This 253-nucleotide ribosomal RNA is filed under the name uncultured bacterium. RNAcentral describes it as "partial 16S ribosomal RNA". It matches the Rfam family "Bacterial small subunit ribosomal RNA", at positions 524 to 776 of the family's 1533-position model. The record is from RNAcentral.
UACGUAGAGUGCAAGCGUUGUCCGGAAUUAUUGGGCGUAAAGAGCUCGUAGGCGGUUUGUCGCGUCUGCUGUGAAAACUCGGGGCUUAACCCCGGGCCUGCAGUGGGUACGGGCAGACUAGAGUGCGGUAGGGGAGACUGGAAUUCCUGGUGUAGCGGUGAAAUGCGCAGAUAUCAGGAGGAACACCGGUGGCGAAGGCGGGUCUCUGGGCCGUAACUGACGCUGAGGAGCGAAAGCGUGGGGAGCAAACAGG